GAUGAACGCUGGCGGCGUGCCUAACACAUGCAAGUCGAGCGAAAGGACGAGAAUUUUGCGUGGCUGAUGUUAGGGGCGGGGGGGUGAGUCACAUGUGUAUAACCUACCUAUAAGACUGGGAUCAUUAGGGGAAAGCGGAUCUUACACCCGAGGAGAUUUUGAACCGUGGGGGUCAUAGGUGAAAGUCGGUCUUGCUGGCACUAAUAGAGGGUUCCGAGCUGGAUGAGCUAGUUGGUAAGGAAACGGCUUACCAAGGCUAGGAUGCAUAGCCGACCUGAGAGGGUGAUCGGCCACACUGGAACUGAGACACGGUCCAGACUCCUACGGGAGGCAGCAGUAGGGAAUCUUCCGCAAAGGGCGAAAGCCUGACACAGCAACGCCGCGUGAGUGAUGAAGGUCUUCGGAUCGUAAAGCUCUGUUAUUGGGGAGGAACAGAUGUGUAAGUAACCGUGGCCAUCUUGACGGUACCUAAUCAAAAAGCACCGGCUAACUACGUG
Molecule: ribosomal RNA, 497 nt
Filed under: uncultured bacterium
Lineage: Bacteria
Description: partial 16S ribosomal RNA
Rfam family: Bacterial small subunit ribosomal RNA
Source: RNAcentral